This 489-nucleotide ribosomal RNA is filed under the name uncultured bacterium. RNAcentral describes it as "partial 16S ribosomal RNA". It matches the Rfam family "Bacterial small subunit ribosomal RNA", at positions 28 to 507 of the family's 1533-position model. The record is from RNAcentral.
GAUGAACGCUAGCUACAGGCUUAACACAUGCAAGUCGAGGGGCAGCAUGAACUUAGCUUGCUAAGUUUGAUGGCGACCGGCGCACGGGUGAGUAACACGUAUCCAACCUGCCGAUGACUCGGGGAUAGCCUUUCGAAAGAAAGAUUAAUACCCGAUGGCAUAGUUCUUCCGCAUGGUAGAACUAUUAAAGAAUUUCGGUCAUCGAUGGGGAUGCGUUCCAUUAGGCUGUUGGCGGGGUAACGGCCCACCAAGCCUUCGAUGGAUAGGGGUUCUGAGAGGAAGGUCCCCCACAUUGGAACUGAGACACGGUCCAAACUCCUACGGGAGGCAGCAGUGAGGAAUAUUGAUCAAUGGACGAGAGUCUGAACCAGCCAAGUAGCGUGAAGGAUGACUGCCCUAUGGGUUGUAAACUUCUUUUAUACGGGAAUAAAGUGAGGCACGUGUGCCUUUUUGUAUGUACCGUAUGAAUAAGGAUCGGCUAACUCCGUG